Molecule: non-coding RNA, 75 nt
Organism: Streptomyces violaceusniger Tu 4113
Lineage: Bacteria; Bacillati; Actinomycetota; Actinomycetes; Kitasatosporales; Streptomycetaceae
Source: Rfam
CUUGACCGACCCCAGCAGCAGCGGAUCAUCCGCGGCGCGCUCACGGCCAUAGGUGGCCAGCAACGCCUGCGCCUC